AUACGGAGGACGCGAGCGUUAUCCGGAUUCAUUGGGUUUAAAGGGUGCGCAGGCGGCCGUGCAAGUCAGCGGUGAAAGCCCGGGGCUCAACCCCGGAAGUGCCGUUGAUACUGCGUGGCUGGAAUGCGGUCGAGGCGGGCGGGAAGCGGCGGGUAGCGGGGGAAUGCGUAGAUAUGCCACAGAACGCCGAUAGCGGAGGCAGCUCGCCAGGCCUGCAGUGACGCUCGGGCACGAAAGCGUGGGGAUCGAACAGGAUUAGAUACCCUGGUAGUCCGCGCCGUAAACGAUGGGCGCUCGUCGUCGGCGGCAGACAGUCGGCGGCCAAGCGAAAGCGAUAAGCGCCCCACCUGGGGAGUACGGUCGCAAGGCUGAAACUUAAAGGAAUUGACGGGG
RNAcentral lists this ribosomal RNA (393 nucleotides) under uncultured bacterium. RNAcentral's name for it is "partial 16S ribosomal RNA". It matches the Rfam family "Bacterial small subunit ribosomal RNA", at positions 523 to 918 of the family's 1533-position model. The record is from RNAcentral.